This 6937-nucleotide long non-coding RNA is filed under the name Capsicum annuum. RNAcentral's name for it is "long non-coding RNA (CANN_LNC017127)". Lineage: Eukaryota; Viridiplantae; Streptophyta; Magnoliopsida; Solanales; Solanaceae. The record is from RNAcentral.
CCAAAAUCUGGGGUGUAAGUAUACAUUCAUAAUUUAUCAAAGUCUAACAACUAAAUGGAAGAAAAGACAUAUUUAUAGUCUAGGGUUAAUUAUUACAUCAUAUGGGCCAAAAAAUUAUCCAUUUGGGAAAGACAAAGCAUAGAAGCCCAUUAAGAAUUCCCUUAGGCAAUCCAAGCACACAUGGGAUGCAUCUUCAAGUCAUGUGAGUUAUUUUUGACCCACUCUAGCAGAUCUAGAGUCGGUUGGGCACACCUACAAAGCAGAUGGGGUGCAUUCUCCUUUCGGGGGCUUUCUAGCCUCAUUUUGCCUUUCUUUGGCCUCUUUAAUAUCUCUCGUUCCUCCUCAAUCAUCAUAAUAAUUCAAUUAGCACCUUUUGGAUAGAACCAAUGAGCCUUCAAGUGCCUCUUGAACUAUAAGCCUCUUCUCUAAUAAUCUGGAGGCCAUUUGGAUUGUAUUACAAUACAAGUUAUGGCAUGGAUUUUAUUUCCUGAUCUUUUACCUACUUUUUUUGUGAUGAAUCACUUUUUUCAUUAGAAGAAACUAUGGGAAAAACCAUCCAUCUUGAUAUGUCCACUAUUAACAAGGCCCGACCUAGUUGUGCGAGGGUGAAAGUCCAAAUUGAUUUAGCAACUAAGUUACCUGAUAAAGUGGAGAUAGAAGUGAAUAAAACAAAAGAAGCAAGGAUUCAAUCAGUCAAAACUCGAUAUGAUAUGCUUCCUAAAUAUUGUUUCAAGUGUAAAGUUCAAUGUCAUGAGAAGGUGGAGUAUAGAAUUUUACAUUCAGAAUUGAAAAAUUAUGUGCAAAAAAGACAUAAAUAGGAAGUUAGUUUUUGCUAAAUGGAAUCCUACAAGUCAAAAAUUUCAAAUUGAAAAAGGAACCAACAAAUUUCUAGAUAAUGUUGUAGACAUGAAAAAUGAGGAAAAGGUGUUACAGGCCAAUAAAACAAUCAGUACUAAGAACUCAUUUGGCAUCCUUCAACAACAAGAUGAAGGCAGUUAACUUACUCAAGCUACGGGAACAAUGACCUCAAUGGUGGAGGGAAAGGAAAAUAUGAAGAAGAAGAAAAAUAAUGUAAAAGAAAAGCUGAGUAACAUGCAAAAUAUAGAUCAACAUAAAUCUGUUUAGUAGAAAUAAAAUAGGAAAAAUAUAUAUUCCAUGAGUUAAUAUGGAUAAUCAGGUGGAGGGAUGUAUUACAACUGACAAGGACAACAUCAAUGAGACUAGCAACAAUAGUUGUUCAAUGGGAACUGCAGAACCUAUUCAUGAUAAAUAUAUGAUAUUAAAUGUAGUGGAUCACAAAGAUACUCAACAACUUACAUGUACCAACAAAAAUCUAAGGAAAAGAGGCAGAAGUAUAUUGCUAGAACAGGGGAAUGUAGGUGUAAAUCAAAAUAAAUUACAUAGUAGUGGAAAAUACAUAGAAGACAUUCAUAGAAACAAAGAAAGUCCACAAAUGCAAAAAAAAAAACAUGUUGAUUAUUGAUAGUCACAGUGCAAGAGGAGGUGAUAUUGUGAAUAAUGAUAUACCUGAUGACAUACAUUCAAAUAGGGUUCAAUUAGCCCUUGCUCAAGCUACAUAAAAUGAGGCACUUUAGGUGGAUGAAUCAGGUGUUAGAGGUGAUGAGGGAUUUCUUCCAAAUAGCAUAGAAGGGGAGGCAAGUAAUCUGGCAUUAGCAGCAUUGAAAAAAUCAAACAACAAAAAAUUACAUAAUUUGGUUUCCCACCAAAUAACAAAAGAGGUAAAUCAUGAAAGUACAGAUACAGAUGACAUAUGGAUAAAAGAUACAGAAGAAGGAAAUAAUCAAAAAAAACUAAACCAAGUAAUGAAAGAAGCAGGUUUAUCACCACGUGCAAAUAACAAAGGUAAAAAGAGUAGGAUCAAAGUUGAAAAGCCUACAAGGACCAGUUCUAGGAGGGGUGGUAAAGCCAGCAUUCAAUGAAUUUAAAAGCACUUUUCUGGAACAUCAGAUUAGUUAGGUCACAACAUGUUUUCCACAUAGUACAAAUGUUACAUAGGCAUCAUAUUACUUUUAUUGCUUUGAUGGAGUCUUUUCAAGAUAUCAGACACAUAUAGAGGUAUAAAAGAAUAUUGGGCAUGAAAUAUACAAAUUAUAAUAUGAAUGUAAAGAUAUGGAUUUUUGUUUAAAAAAAUAUACAGGUGGAGACAUUAGCAUAUUCUGAUCAGCAAAUCACAUUUUAGCUAGUUGUUCAGAAUGAUCAAUAGGUGAUUAUUAUAGCUGUUUAUGCUAAAUGUGAUGUAAGUGAAAGAAUUGCUUUAUGGGAUCUAUUUACUCAUUGAGUCAUAAUGUUAGAGUAUCUUGGAUGGUAAGGGGACUUUAAUGUUAUCAUGAAUGAAGAAGAGAAAAUUGGAGGAUUACCAAUGUAUCCUAAUGUAUAUGAACAUUUUGCUUUCUACAUCAACCCCUGUGAUCUAUUUGAUAUUAAUUUAAAAGGGAGUCCAUUCACUUAGUGGAAUGGUAGGGCAGAUGAUCCAUGUAUUUUUAAGAGAUUAGACAUAAUCGUUAUUAACUAAGAGUUUUUGGGCAUUAUGGGGCGUAUUGAGGUUGAACAUCUAUCCAGGACACGAUCAGAUCAUGCUCCUUUGUUAUUCUCUUGUAGUGAUGAAAAUGUUCAGUUUCACAAGCCUUUUAGGUUUUUGAAAUUUUGGACUGAGAAAGAGGACUUCAAAGAAAUGGUAAGAUAGAAUUAGGUAUCAAAAAAAUGUAGGCAUAUCUUUAUCAAUUUAAAGCAAAAAAUGAAGAAAACCAAAAUGGCUCUAGCUUUAUGGAGCAGAUUCAUGUUUGGAGAUAUAUUUAAAUAAUUAGUCAUCAAGAAAUACAUAGUAAGAAUCAAAAAUGAUUUGUUUGAAGAAAGUCCUACUACUACUAACAAAAUAAUUUUUCAGAAGGCACAGGCUGAGUUGAGGUAGUGUUUACAUUAUGAAGAAGAGUAUUGGAGAUAAAAAUCUGGUAUUCAAUGAUUUUCAGAAGAGAAGGAAAUAUGAAAUUCUUUCUGGUGAAUGCUAGAAGGAAAAAGCUAGAAAUAACUAGAAUUUAGAGAGUUGAUGGUUCUUGGGUUGAAGAUAAUAAUUAGGUAGCUGUAGAAAUAAUUGAUUUCUACCAGAAAUAAUUCACUGGAUCAGUUGAGUCUGGUGCAUAUUCUUUUAUUAAUUUGAUUUCUACCCUAAUCACAAAAUAAGAGAAUAAUUUGUUGAAGGUUUGUCCUGACACUGAAGAAGUUAAAAAGGUAGUUUCUAAACUGAAUGGGGAUAACGCUUGUGAGCCAGAUGGUUUCACUGGACAUUUUCAUCAGUUUUGAUGGGACAUUGUUAGUGGUAAUAUUGUGAAGGUAGUUCAUGUAUUUUUUAUGUAAUGACACUGCCUAAAUCUAUCACUCAUACUAAUUUGGUUCUAUUGCCAAAUAAAGAGAAGGUCAAGAGAGAAGGUCUUGACCUUCUUUGACUUAAGACCUAUUAGUUUGAGUAAUUUUCCAAACAAAAUCAUAUUUAGAAUUCUUCAUGAUAAAUUAUAAGGUUUCUUACCUAGGCUCUCUCAAAAUCAAUCUGAUUUUGUUAAGGGAAAAAUUAUCACAGAUAAUGUAUUAUUGGCCAAGAAAAUUAUAUGCGAUAUUAAAAAAGGGAGUAAGGCUGCAAAUAUGGUAAUUAAGCUUGAUAUGACCAAAGUCUACGAUAGAGUGGAGUGAAAUUUUUUUAUGGAAAUGUUGGAGAAAAUGGGCUUCUCAAAUGUCUUUACUGAUAUGAUAUGGAGACUAGUAGCCAAAAAUUGGUACUCUAUCCUAAUAAAUAGGGAAGUUCAUGUCUUCUUCCAUUCUUCUAGAAGAGUAACGCAAUGGGGUCCUUUAUCCCCUUCUUUAUUUAUUAUUAUUGCUGAAGUUAUAACAGGGCACUUAAUAAUUUAUUCUCAUAUGAUGAUUUCAGGAGUUAUGGACUGACUAAAUAGAGUGAUCAAAUAAAUCAUCUUGCUUAUAUUGAUAAUACAAUAAUAUUUUUUUUGCUGACAGGUUUUCAUUGUAAUUAAUUAUGCAGAUCUUAAGAGAAUAUGAAAACCAAUCGUGUCAACAGGGAAAAGAGUGCCUUUUAUGUACAUAACAAGGUUACUCAUGCACAUGUUUAAUUGGUGGAGCAUUGUACUGGCUUUUCCAAGAGGUAAAUUUCCAUUGACAUAUCUGGUUGUGCUAUUGGACAUGCUAGGAAAAGAAAGAUUAAUUUUUUAGAGCUAUUAAAGAAGGUACAAAAUAAACUUCAGUUAUGGAAAGGCAAACUAUUAUCAUUUGGAGGUAAAGUUGUGUUGAUUAAUAAUGAUUUGCAGAGUAUCCUCAUUUAUCAAUUAUUCGAUCUUAUACCUCCAAAAUGUGUGAUUCAUGAUCUUUAUAGAUUUUUUGCUAAAUUUCUAUGGAACUUUAGAAAAAGAGGGAGGAGUAAACACUAGGUCUCUUGGACUAAUAUAUGUCUACCAAAAAAGGAAAGUGGUAUUGAUUUUAGAUCUUUUUUUUAUGUGUCUAAAUCCUUAUUUUCAAAGCUAUGGUGGUAUUUUAGAAUACAAAAAAAUAAUGUGGACUAAUUUUAUGAGAACAAGUACUGUAAAAGGCAUAGACCACAAGUAGUUGAAUGGAAAGGUGGUUCUCAAGUUUGGAAGUUUAUGUUACAGGCUCGAGAUUAUUUUGACCAAGAAAUAUGGUGGAAAUAUAAGUGUGGACAUGUUAGUAUUUGGUCAGAUAAUUGGACUCAAAAGGGAGCUUUACACUAUUAUCUCCCAUUAAACUAUAAUAAUAAUGGAUGAUUGGAAGAUGUGCAUCAAUUAAUGAAUCAUGAUGGGUGGAAUAGGGAUCUACUUAAGGAAAUUUUUUCUGAAGAUAGAUGCAAUCAUGUACUUAAUAAGAUUGGGACAAUAGGAUAUUUUAAUGCUUGGGAUAAUCCAUGGUGGAUGCCACAAGGUUCUAGAAAAUUUACAAUUAAAAGUGGUUGGACUAUCAUAAGACAGUCUGGGAAUGUCAAUGAGGAUUUAAGGUUUAUAUGGGAAAAGGGUAUACCUUUCAAAGUAUCUUUCUUCUUCUUGAGUUAUGAAAGAAAAUAUUACCUACAGGUGACUUUCUAGUCAGUACAUGAUGGGAAGAAAUGACUAAUUGUGUUUGUUGUGAGUUACCAGUUCAUGAAUCCUAUGAACAUCUCUUUGUUCAGUGUUCUGCAGCUAAUAAUUUGUGGAUAGUUUUUGCAUCAAUAUUGAAGUGUAGGGCCCUUUUCUUCAUUUAAAAUAUGUUAUCUACAAGUGGUGGAAUGCUAAUUAUUGUGCUAAACUUAGGCCCCUAUUUAUUGUUAUUCCUGUUUUCAUACUGUGGAAAAUAUGGAAAGAAGAAACAUCAUCAAACAUGAAGGUAGGAUGUCAAUUCAUGGCAUACAAUAGGAAAUAAAUUGGAAUCUGUAUUUGUUUGCUAAGAUAAGAUAUCCUUGGCUUAAUAAUAUCCCUAGUAACUGGCCUAUGAUGGUUAUGUUCUUGGAAGUUUAUAAACCUAAUAUCCAGGCUACUGUGGUCAAGUGGAAGCCUCCUAUCAAUGGUUUUUAUAAGUGCAAUAUUGAUGGUGCCUCUAAAGAUAACCCUUGUCCUAGUGGUGGUGCUUUCUGUAUUAGAGACAGUAAAGGGAAAUUUAUUUUUGCUAAGUCAUUCUCUUUUGAUAUCUUAACUAACUUAGAGAAAGAAUUUGUUUCCUUUAAGAAGGGUUUAGAGUAACGUGUGAGUCAAAAGUUGUUAACAGUUACUAUGAAAUAGAUUCUCUCAUUCUUAAGAAAAUCCUAGAUGGAAUCUGGGAGAUUUCCUGGAAGGUUUCUAUAUAUAUCAAAAGAAUUCAAUGGUUGAAGAGGCAAUGUCAGGUGGAGGUGUUGCAUACGCUAAGGGAAGGGAACAAACUGGUGAAUUUUUUAGCUAAUGAAGUUUUCUUUUUAGCAGGUACGCAAAAUAUAAUACACAUUGCUACAGGAUAUUGCAGAUGAAGGAAAAAUAAUUAUAAAAAUGGACAAGCAUUAAAUCCCAUCACUGAAGUUUGUCAAAUAACAUUUUUUUCUAUAUAAAAGGCAGUCAUAUUAAAUAACAUACCAGAUCUGAGAUAGCAAAUAACAAGAAAUGCAAAGGUCAAGGCACAUACAGAGGGGGAAUUGAUCCAAAUAGAGGUACAUAUAGCUAUAUUAACAUUGAUUGUCGAGCAAUAAAGUACAAGUACAUAUGUACAUUUUAGACUAGUGCAUGCGACAUGGGUAAAAUACUAAGCUUCAGAAAAGAGGGUUUUGUACCUUUUUCAUGCUUACUCAAAUCAUCUAAGUUAAUGUCCUUUGUCAGUGGUAUCAGCUUCUUGUUGAGCUCAACCUGUCAAGGGUAUGAUUUAGAUAAUCCAAUUUAAACAUUAGAUUAGGUAAUGGAGGAUUUUGGGAAAGAUUUACGUUUACCUGAGGAUCAAAUGUCUCAAUUUGUUCUAAGGGGAGUUGAUGAAGUCUUCCUAUAAUCCGAUUUCAUGGCAUUUGUGAGACAAUUAUAAAUGUCUAAAAUGAAAUUCAUAACUUCACUAAUGGACAGAUUUGAGCUAAAUACAUGGUGUUGGCUUAAGCUUUCCCUUUUAAUCCGUCAGUGAGGCAGUUUCAGCUUUAUAAUCCGUGUGGGGAAGAUGAAAAUGCAUAAGAAUUUUUCUAGAUACUUAUCAUACUUUUUUAUAUGACAUUCAUAGUUGCAACAACUACAGGGGCAUUAAGUUGUUGAGUCACACUAUGAAGAUUUGGGAGAAAGUGGUUGAGCGGAGGUUGAGGAGGAGUGUGUCUAUUUCGGAGAAUCAGUUUGGAUUUAUGCACUGCCGCUCGACGGAGGAGGAAAUUUACCUGGUGUGGAGACUAAUGGAGACGUAUAGGGAGUGAAAGACGGACCUCCACAUGGUUUUC